AGUGAACGCUGGCGGUAGGCCUAACACAUGCAAGUCGAACGGCAGCACAGUAAGAGCUUGCUCUUACGGGUGGCGAGUGGCGGACGGGUGAGGAAUACAUCGGAAUCUACUUUUUCGUGGGGGAUAACGUAGGGAAACUUACGCUAAUACCGCAUACGACCUACGGGUUAAAGCAGGGGAUCUUCGGACCUUUCGCGAUUGAAUGAGCCGAUGUCGGAUUAGCUAGUUGGCGGGGUAAAGGCCCACCAAGGCGACGAUCCGUAGCUGGUCUGAGAGGAUGAUCGGCCACACUGGAACUGAGAAACGGUCCAGACUCCUACGGGAGGCAGCAGUGGGGAAUAUUGGACAAUGGGCGCAAGCCUGAUCCAGCCAUACCGCGUGGGUGAAGAAGGCCUUCGGGUUGUAAAGCCCUUUUGUUGGGAAAGAAAAGCAGCAGGUUAAUACCCCGCUGUUCUGACGGUACCCAAAGAAUAAGCACCGGCUAACUUCGUG
RNAcentral lists this ribosomal RNA (492 nucleotides) under uncultured bacterium. RNAcentral describes it as "partial 16S ribosomal RNA". It matches the Rfam family "Bacterial small subunit ribosomal RNA", at positions 29 to 507 of the family's 1533-position model. The record is from RNAcentral.